AACCUUGGAGUGAUCAGCUUCCAAGAUGACCUUCUUGAUUGCCCCCAAGCUGCUGAACAGAUUGAGCAUUGCAAGUGUUGCUAAAAUAUCAAACAUUGGUGAAGUAGCACCGAACUCUAUCAGCUCUUGCUCAUAUCUUUUCGAGACAUCGUCGUCAGCUACCUUGGCCGUGAUGACAAAGGCUGCCUUUGAAAACCCUAAUAAAUUCAAGAUGGUGUCGAAGAAGGCAAAGAAGUAGGAGGUUGUUCUUUUGAACAUCCACAUCCUUUGAUCGUUAAACCAACCUUGGAACGUGCCUCCGCACCAUAGGAAUUCUCCAAGGCUAUGGACGCGGUGUGCAAAGGCAACAUAUGCAAAUGGGACCACCCAGAGGGUCGAUGUCUGAUUGUCAAAAAUGAUUUAGUUAUUCAUGUGCAAAUUUACAAACUCCGUGGAUGUGUUAUGUUUAAAGCUCGUUUGACAUUGCAAUUGAGCUGCAUUUAGUCGCAAAUGCAUUGCCAAAUAAAGAUUUGACAAAUUUAAUUGAAAAAGUUGAGUGCUGGAAAUUUAGAAAGCAUAUUAAGAAUGAUGAUAAUGCUAAAGGAAUCAUUUUCGUUUGAAAGAUUUGAUUGUGAAAUUGGUUCCAAAUUCAGCUUGCUGUUUCUAAAAUAGUACAAAAAAGAGCAAGUUUGUCAGUGAGGAGAUUCAUACCUUAGGAAACAAGGAGAUGUCUUUAAGCAGGCAAAGGCAUGGCACAGCAACAUAAUACAACGUUGCCAAGCAGUUUGCAGCCCACAAAUUGUAAGGACAAUAUGCAAGUCGAAGUUUUAGAGGAAUCUUUUUAUGUCCAUACAACAGGGAGCAUUACCUUGACAGGAAUAUUUGCAAGUGACCUUCCGUCCAUCUCUUAUGUUGUAUUAACGUCUGCAAUAAUGUUGUUGGAGCAACUCCUAAGAAAGCUUCUCCUUGAGGAUUUAAGUAUAUAGAUUUCCAACCUCUACAUUGUAUACUCAAUCCUGUAAUUACAUCCUCCGCAGGGAAGCCAUAUGUUAAUCCCAUCUGCAACCAAAUAUUCAUAUCAUUAUUAUUAUGGAAAGUUGUCUGUUUGUGUGCGUGCACGUGCUCAUUUGAACAUGUGUUUAGGUAGGUGAGAAAGAGCAUUACGAACCUCUUUUCCCCAUUGUGUGUUUUGUUCAAAGGUACAGCUUGCAAGAACUUUACAUGUUUCUUCUAGGACGCUUGCACUUUCUUUAACCUUUCUCUCAUUUAGUCUCUUCCAAUCAACCUUACAGUCUUUGUCAUAUUUCUUCCCACAGAGAGCCUCUCUCCGGUGAAAGCAUCCGGAGCCAAUAUAGCAUGGCCCUCCAUUUGCGUCAAGUCCUGGAAGCUCCAACUUGAUUGUUGAUAACCCAUCACAGACAGAUGGAAGGAAAACAAAAAUAAUCAGAAUCUUCCUUAUUAGAUCAAUCACCGGCUUGCAUUAAAUUAAUUAGAGUAAAACAUUUCUGUUAUGCUUGAUUACCUGAUUUAUUACUCGGAAGGAACUACCAUACAAUUCAUUUUUGGUGAGAUUUUCGAAAUUCUGAGGAUACUGCACGUAGGCAAACUCAUCUCCCUUCUCUUCAUCCAUGAAAAAGCAUAAAGAAUUUUUGAUCGAUUCUGAAUUAUUCGAGUACAUAUCACAAUCCACAUUGAGAAUGAUUGGACCAUUACUUAUCCUUGAUGAUACCCUGAUCUAUAUAUUUAUCCACCGUAAAAAAAGGUUUCAAUAACAUAUGAAAAAGAAAACAAUUAGCUAUAAUGGUACUUACAAGAGCAUUCAUGGCUCCAGCUUUAAAAUGGUGGUGAAAUUGCGGUCUUUUCUCUCGUGCCAAAUACACAAGAGUUGGCAGAGGUCUUCCUUCAACAUCAACCGCAUUGGGGUCUCUCCCAUCAAUUAGGAUCUAAGAAAUUGAUUAAAACACCAGCAAUUAAAACUAAGCUCAAGUAUUUUACUAAGUUAUCGAAGCAUAAUUAAUUACUUGAAGAAUGGUUUGAUGAUCAUGUUUGCUUGAAACAAAAUCCCAUUCACGAAAUCCUUUGCGUUGUUUACGAAUGUCUUCAGGAAUUCGGUUCAACUUGGUGGUGGUUUCAAUCCUCAGUUUCAUGUCCUCGUAUAGUUUCUGCAUAAUUAAGAAAAAAGAUGCUUACCUUUUACAUAUAAAUGCUGGAGCAAAUAAUAUAUACUUAACAAUAGUAAGAAAGUUUGUCUCUGGUUUUUUGUUUGUUUCAUUAGUAGGAUCUGUGUUUUCGUUUCGACCAAGGAUGUGCCUUAUUUUUUGAUCGAGAUAUUCUCUUUGUAACACUGCUAUGUUCAUCCAUUUGCUUAGGGGCAAGCAGCUCUAAAACUCUUCUUGCGAAUUAGGUUAGAAGUUUAGCAUUCAUGAUAUUCACUGUCAAUGGCUUUUUGUGCAGUCUCUUUUGUAAGUGUACAGGUUUUCAAUAUUCGAACCAUGUCAAUGUGUCAUGAAAAGUCUAUUGUAGUAAGUAAGAGACUUGAAAUAUGCAUGAUUGAGGUUAAUAAAAUCUAAAAAAAAAGAAAAGUAAGAAAGUAAAAAAUUUAGCUCUAUGGUAUAAAACAACAGAUUAUUAUACUUUUAUAAACUUCUCUUUUAUUAUAUUCAAUCAAACUUUUAUAUUAUUAUUUUAAAUCAAAUAAAUUCUUAUAACUAAUAAUUAACUAAUUGUUGUUGUUAAUUAAAAUGUCUUUUAUUAUUUUAUACCAUGUGAUCAUGAUAUAACAUGUUGUCAUGUCAUAAUAGAUAAUAAUGUAACAUGUCAACGUCACAUAAAUAUAAAAAAAUAAAAAAUUUAAUUAAACAUAAUAAAAAAUAAAAAUUUAUUUAAAUUUAUAAUUCAAAAACUUUUUUACAUAUUAUACUUCCAAAUAAUUUGGUUUAGUAAUAAUUAUCCUCUUUAAUAGAAUAAAGAUUGGAUAUCCAAAUCAUCACUCUCCUUACAUAUAUAUGCAUCAUUUUCAAAUAAAAUUUUUAACCAAAUCGUUUUGUUUUGUUGUGAUUUUUCUUUUUAAACAACUAUUAUAUUCUUAUAAUUCAAAUAAAAUAUUUUCCAAAAAAAAAAGUAUAUAGUUAUCUUUCUAUGUACCCAAUUCUAUUUGGUAAAAAAUAAAUAAAAAUCAAGUUUAUCUCUCAAUCUCACCUCAUUUUUUUGGACAAAUUAACAUGAGACAAACACUGUUUUGCACAUGCUUAAGGUCAAACAAAGACAUUUUGUGCUUGAAAACAAAAAACGUAAUAAUAAUAGUUAAUAAACUUAAACAAAACAAGCAUUAGUAAUUGGUGCUACUCGGAUCGUCAAAAGAUAUUAAUAUAUAGGGAUCCCUAUUGGUUUUGUUUGGUAGCACCCGAAGAUCAAAAUAUCCUAAUAAAUAAAACUCAAAAGUCACUGAUUAAUUAAUAAAUUGCAAAUAGUAAUUUUCAAACCCACGAUAUUGUUGUCCUUUUUGACUUUUAUUGGAGAGUAAGACAAAAACUUUGUUUUUAAAGGACUUUAUAUUAAGAAUUUUAAUUUUUUAAUUUGAUAAUAUAUGGAGUAUUGGUUUGCAAUGCUUUUUAAUGUGAAAAAAAUUCUUCAAAAGACAUUAAAAAAAUUUAUAAUAUAAAAAUAUAAAAUUUUAUAUUAGAACAUUCCAAAGAAAAAGAUAGACAAAGAAAAUAAGAUGGAAGCAAGUAAUAUAAAUUUUCGAUCACAAAAAAUUAAUUUAUUAAGCAAUUACUACCUUUCAAAAAAAAAUUAUUAAGUAAUUACUCAAUGGAAACCUGAAAGUUGUUAAUUAAUAAAACAAAUUAUAAAAAUACUACUUUGGUACAAAAAUCGUAAUUAAUUAGUAGAGUACUGGAGGAAGUCCAAUUUAGAUGAAACAAUGCAACAAUAAUUGCAGAAAACCGCAAAAAGCAAACAUUCAACAGUGGUUGAUGUAAGACAAGUGAAACAAUUAAAUUACCUUUACUGAGAGCCACUCUUUGGCCUUGACGGGAUCAUUUACUGGUUCAAAAGCUGUCCUGAAGUAAGCCUCGGGCGACCUUGGUUCUACUUUGAACUUCUUGCAAAAGGGCAGCCAUUGCUUUGAGAAAGUUGCAGCCUCUAACAUGGCAUAGAACGUUAGGUCUGACCCGCCAUCGUCUGAUAGAUAGAUGCUUAACUUCUCUGGCGGAUAAUCAUAAGCCAUCACUGAUAACACUGUGUUGAUCACCAGGCUUGGUGGCUCUAUCAAUGGAUCCGCUGUGCAUACAAAUAUGUCUACUCCCGGUAAAUCUUUUUCGAACCUGUUAUUUUGUCCGAGAUUAAAACGAGCAGAUAAAAAAUAUACUCAGAUAAAAUUAAACACGUACAAUUAUAAAAUACGUAAUAAACUUCAUUCAAUUUUUCUUGAAUUAACUAGUUUUUUGUUAAAAUAACUUCUAUAUGUAUGAGAUACCUUUGAGAGAGCCUGUCUUUGUAAGGAAAGCGGUAGACAGAGUUCCAUCUACAAACUGUGGUGAGAAACCAAUAAAAACUGAACCAUAGCUCAGCAAGAAACAACCCAAUCCAAGUCCAUCUCUCAACUUUUCCUUUCUCUGGGAGAAACCUUACUCUGUAGAUACAAAUGAAGCAGAUGCCCACAAAGAUGGAAGCUGUAAACAGCCUGAAAGGGAUCCGUCCCUUAACCGGCCUUGUUUCGAAGAGUGGAACAUAAUCAUCCUUUGCCAUGCCUCCCUGCCAGCUCUCUCAACUAGUGUGGAUGGUGAAUGUGAUGAAUCGUACCAUAUAAAAGUCUAUAUAGCACUAAAAGUGGCUGACAUGAGAGCAACGUCUUUCGGCUUACUAUUUAUUGAUUUAUUGUCUUUCAUCUUCAUAUAUAUUUUUCAUGGUCAUUUUUAAUUUUUGAUAUUAAAGAACCAUGGGUUUGUUUUAUUUUCAUAAAAAUUUUAUAUAUUAAUUUCAAUUAUAAUAUUCUAAACAUAUAAAUAGACAAAAAAAAACAUAAUAUCGGUUCAUUUGAAAGAUUAAACUAUAAUUUCAGGUUACAAUAAAAAAAUUAAUCAAAAGUACAUAUGAAAAUUUCAUAAAAAUUUUAAUAAAGACGGAUUCAAUUUACUUUUUUUUACCAAUAAAUUCAAUUUACUCUAAUUAAAGAAAUUUUUUAGAAAAAUCUCAAAGCAAGAAGGAAACUCGAGAACUUGUCUAUUUGAACUAGCAAUUUAAAAAGUGAGAGGUCGAUUCAAAAUCAUACUCAUGGGGUAGCCUAAAUAAGUUGUAGACAUCAUUAUUUAAAUGACACAGCCUUGGUUUGGUCCUAUCCUUUAAUAUUUCGCUUUCUUACGAGACCUAAGCACAUAUUAAGAAAAAAUUCAUUUUUAUUGGAAUUUUAAUGGAAAAUUUCAUGGAAAGUUUUUUUUUCAAAGGUGGUCGAAAGCAUCUGUUAUUUAAAAAAAAUAUAAAACUAUUAUAAGAAUACAAAUUGUAAUUUUUUUAAAUAUUUAUAUGGCAAGAUCUAUUCUUUUACAAGAGAUAUAAAAUAUCUUAAAAAGAAAACAGAUGGUUAGAUUCCAUCUCCCCAUUUUUCUAAUCCAAUCAUCAUUAAUUAAAAUGCAUACUAUCAUAAUAUCAUAUUUUUAUUGGGUGGCAGCACUACAAUCUUUAAAAAAAAUUGCAUUAAUUAAUUAGUUUUUCCAGAUUAAGUCUUAAUUAAUUGCAGGAUAUUCAGAAACCCAAAUGCACUACGGCACUGCCUACUAGUACUGUCCUUUCCUGUGAUUAUUUAUAUAAUUAAUCAAAACUUAAUUACACAUCCUAUUAUUUUAAUGCUACGAUGAAAUCUGGGGCUAAAAGGUUUUGCCACUAUGAUGUAUGCGCCUAAUAUUCCAAGCUUAUCCUAAUUCUAUCACCAAAAUGGCUUGAAUAUCAUUGACUGAUUAAUUAUUUAAGUUGUGAUGGCUUAAUUAGAAUUUACAAGAAAUAAAUUAAAAGUGCAAUAGUUGGUUAAAAAAAUUAUAAAAAAAUCAUCGAAUAUUUUUUUUUCUCAGUCAAAAGUAGUAGAGUUAUCAUCAAAUACUAUUUAUCUUAAUACUUUUAUUUCAACUAUUUAUCCAAACAUGACAUGACUAAUUUAUUAGUGCAAAUUGGAUUAUCUCAAUUAUGAAUUCAUUAAUUCACCCAUCUCACGCUCAAAUUUCACACUAAUUUAUUGUCAUAUAGGAUAAAUAAUUUGGAUGAAGAUGAUGAAACAACUAAAAUAAUUUAGUAGAAUGAUUAACUAAUUAUUUAAUAGGUUUAGCCAAAGAAAUUCUUUUACUAAUGAAAAUAUUGAAAAUAUGAUAAUUUAAUAUGUAAUAUGUAACAUGUUACAUAUUUAAUAGCUUAAGCAGAUUAUGACGAGCACCCAAGCAUUUGAUUUAUUAAUUAAUGUAUAAUCUCUUUGUUUAAAAAGUAUGGAUUUGAAUCUGGCUUCCCUUACAAAUUAAAAUAGAAAUAGAAUUCCUUAAUUUAGAAAUGAUUUUUACCUUAAAAACACCAUGGAAUGCUUUAUUUGAUAAAAAUAAGACUUUCUCUUUGUUUUACAAAAUCAUUUCAAUUUUCAUACGAAUUGGAAAAACAAAAUGAUACAGAAAUGUUUUCCUGAUAGUGAGACCAAUAACAUCAAAAUGAAAUUAAAAAAAAUUGUGAAAUUCAUUUAUUUUAACAUACCCUUAGACAUGAAACAGAACAAUAUAUUAUUUCAGUUCAGAAUACACCUUAUUCUGGAAAGGAAAACGGAACUAAUAAGUACCCUUUUAUCUUUUUUUCAUUGGCGUAGUGAUUUAAUACAUGGCUAGUGUACAGACCAGCAAGGCAAAAACGAUGGACUUGUAAGUUACCGAACUGGGCAUUCUACCAUUGUCCUUUCGGAAAAAGAGUGCCUGGUAUACAGGGAAGUUGAUAGUAACCAAAAGCAAACAGAGGAGAAUCUGCAACCCAAAUAGGUCCAAAACCUUGGAGUGAUCAGCUUCCAAGAUGACCUUCUUGAUUGCCCCCAAGCUGCUGAACAGAUUGAGCAUUGCAAGUGUUGCUAAAAUAUCAAACAUUGGUGAAGUAGCACCGAACUCUAUCAGCUCUUGCUCAUAUCUGUUCAAGACUUCAUCGUCAGCUAUCUUGGCCGUGAUGACAAAGGCUGCCUUUGAAUACCCUAAUAGCUUCAAGAUGGUGUCGAAGAAGCCAAAGAAGUAGGAAGUUGUUCUUUUGAACAUCCACAUCCUUUGAUCGUUACACCAACCUUGGAAUG
RNAcentral lists this long non-coding RNA (7279 nucleotides) under Theobroma cacao (cacao). RNAcentral describes it as "long non-coding RNA (TCAC_LNC003554)". Lineage: Eukaryota; Viridiplantae; Streptophyta; Magnoliopsida; Malvales; Malvaceae. The record is from RNAcentral.